RNAcentral lists this ribosomal RNA (1420 nucleotides) under uncultured bacterium. Its description in RNAcentral is "16S ribosomal RNA". It matches the Rfam family "Bacterial small subunit ribosomal RNA". The record is from RNAcentral.
CUAGUGAUUAGAGUUUGAUCCUGGCUCAGGAUGAACGCUAGCGGCAGGCUUAACACAUGCAAGUCGAGGGGUAUAAGUCUUCGGAUUUAGAGACCGGCGCACGGGUGCGUAACGCGUAUGCAAUCUACCUUUCACAGAGGGAUAGCCCAGAGAAAUUUGGAUUAAUACCUCAUAGUAUAGUACCUUGGCAUCAAGGAACUAUUAAAGAUUUAUCGGUGAAAGAUGAGCAUGCGUCCCAUUAGCUAGAUGGUAAGGUAACGGCUUACCAUGGCUACGAUGGGUAGGGGUCCUGAGAGGGAGAUCCCCCACACUGGUACUGAGACACGGACCAGACUCCUACGGGAGGCAGCAGUGAGGAAUAUUGGUCAAUGGGCGCAAGCCUGAUCCAGCCAUGCCGCGUGCAGGAAGAAGGUCCUAUGGAUUGUAAACUGCUUUUAUACAGGAAGAAACACCUCUACGUGUAGAGACUUGACGGUACUGUAUGAAUAAGGACCGGCUAACUCCGUGCCAGCAGCCGCGGUAAUACGGAGGGUCCAAGCGUUAUCCGGAAUCAUUGGGUUUAAAGGGUCCGUAGGCGGCCAAAUAAGUCAGUGGUGAAAGCCCAUCGCUCAACGAUGGAACGGCCAUUGAUACUGUUUGGCUUGAAUUAUUAGGAAGUAACUAGAAUAUGUAGUGUAGCGGUGAAAUGCUUAGAGAUUACAUGGAAUACCAAUUGCGAAGGCAGGUUACUACUAAUAUAUUGACGCUGAUGGACGAAAGCGUGGGGAGCGAACAGGAUUAGAUACCCUGGUAGUCCACGCCGUAAACGAUGGAUACUAGCUGUUCGGAGCAAUCUGAGUGGCUAAGCGAAAGUGACAAGUAUCCCACCUGGGGAGUACGCACGCAAGUGUGAAACUCAAAGGAAUUGACGGGGGCCCGCACAAGCGGUGGAGCAUGUGGUUUAAUUCGAUGAUACGCGAGGAACCUUACCAAGGCUUAAAUGUAGUUUGACCGAUUUGGAAACAGAUCUUUCGCAAGACAAAUUACAAGGUGCUGCAUGGUUGUCGUCAGCUCGUGCCGUGAGGUGUCAGGUUAAGUCCUAUAACGAGCGCAACCCCUGUUGUUAGUUGCCAGCGAGUCAUGUCGGGAACUCUAACAAGACUGCCAGUGUAAACUGUGAGGAAGGUGGGGAUGACGUCAAAUCAUCACGGCCCUUACGCCUUGGGCCACACACGUGCUACAAUGGACGGUACAGAGAGCAGCCACUGGGUGACCAGGAGCGAAUCUACAAAACCCGUUCUCAGUUUCGGAUCGGAGUCUGCAACUCGACUCCGUGAAGCUGGGAAUCGCUAGUAAUCGGAUAUCAGCCAUGAUCCGGUGAAUACGUUCCCGGGCCUUUGUACACACCGCCCGUCAAGCCAUGGAAGCUGGGGGUGCCUGA